GACUGGUCCCCACGCGGCAAGGCCCGUAAACCCCGCCAGGUCCGGAAGGAAGCAACGGUAGCGGAUCUCCUUGGGCGCCGUGGUUCAGGCUGGUCUGA
This 98-nucleotide signal recognition particle RNA is filed under the name Proteobacteria bacterium CG1_02_64_396. RNAcentral describes it as "signal recognition particle sRNA small type". It matches the Rfam family "Bacterial small signal recognition particle RNA". From Rfam's summary of the family: The signal recognition particle (SRP) is a universally conserved ribonucleoprotein involved in the co-translational targeting of proteins to membranes. Archaeal SRP consists of a 7S RNA and homologues of the eukaryotic SRP19 and SRP54 proteins. The record is from RNAcentral. RNAcentral also lists the same sequence under 1 other name. Lineage: Bacteria; Pseudomonadati; Pseudomonadota.